AUUGAACGCUGGCGGCAUGCUUUACACAUGCAAGUCGAACGGCAGCGCGGGCUUCGGCCUGGCGGCGAGUGGCGAACGGGUGAGUAAUGCAUCGGAACGUGCCCAGUAGUGGGGGAUAGCCCGGCGAAAGCCGGAUUAAUACCGCAUACGACCUGAGGGUGAAAGCGGGGGACCGAAAGGCCUCGCGCUAUUGGAGCGGCCGAUGUCGGAUUAGAUAGUUGGUGGGGUAAAGGCUUACCAAGGCGACGAUCCGUAGCUGGUCUGAGAGGACGACCAGCCAGACUGGGACUUAGGCACGGCCCAGACUCCUACGGGAGGCCGCAGUGGGGAAUUUUGGACAAUGGGGGCAACCCUGAUCCAGCCAUGCCGCGUGCGGGAAGAAGGCCUUCGGGUUGUAAACCGCUUUUGUUCGGGAAGAAAUCCUCUGGGCUAAUACCCCGGGGGGAUGACGGUACCGGAAGAAUAAGCACCGGCUAACUACGUG
Molecule: ribosomal RNA, 484 nt
Filed under: uncultured bacterium
Lineage: Bacteria
Description: partial 16S ribosomal RNA
Rfam family: Bacterial small subunit ribosomal RNA
Source: RNAcentral